Molecule: ribosomal RNA, 253 nt
Filed under: uncultured bacterium
Lineage: Bacteria
Description: partial 16S ribosomal RNA
Rfam family: Bacterial small subunit ribosomal RNA
Source: RNAcentral
UACGUAGGCAGCAAGCGUUGUUCGGAAUUACUGGGCGUAAAGCGUGUGUAGGCGGUUCGCCAAGUUUGGUGUGAAAUCUCCCGGCUUAACUGGGAGGGUGCGCCGAAAACUGGCGGGCUUGAGGGUGGGAGAGGUAAGCGGAAUUUCUGGUGUAGCGGUGAAAUGCGUAGAUAUCAGAAGGAACACCUGUGGUGUAGACAGCUUACUGGACCACUUCUGACGCUGAGACACGAAAGCGUGGGUAGCAAACAGG